This 540-nucleotide long non-coding RNA is filed under the name Capra hircus (goat). RNAcentral's name for it is "lncRNA (ENSCHIG00000006000.1)". Lineage: Eukaryota; Metazoa; Chordata; Mammalia; Artiodactyla; Bovidae. The record is from RNAcentral.
AAAUAUUCUAGCAUAAAUAUAAAAGAAAAUCAGAGAUGGGAAAGAUUGACUCACGAGAGAUUGGAGAGGUAGAUUCACACAGUGAUAGUGCAAGCAGCUUGCUUCUAAUUAAAUAUGCGACUGAGUCUCAAUGCAUUUGCUUUCAGCCGCAGAGAGAAGAAGCUGCCCAAGAAUGGAAAGGAAGAAAUAUAUCACAUCAUCUGUCUGUCCACAGGCUUUCCUUGGGGCUUAUGAAGCACAGCUUUUACACAUCUGGUCCUGAGAAAAUCCACACUGUUGCUACUCACCCGGCAGCCCUGACCACAAUAUUGGCAGUGAUUUUGGAGUUCUAACAGAUGAAUCAACCAUUUUCAGUGGACAUUUUCUCCCUGCUUUGCAUAUUUCCUCUAGCUGCAACCCCUCCUCACUUGACAGAUGCUGCUUUCUCUACACCGGUGGACUUUUCCCAGCCCCUCCUCUUUACACUGGCCCUUUAAGCAGACAUUUACAGAAAUUAUCCUAUUCAGUGUCAUUACUCUGCUCCCACAGGUACAGUCUUAG